This 571-nucleotide long non-coding RNA is filed under the name Pan troglodytes (chimpanzee). Its description in RNAcentral is "lincRNA". The record is from RNAcentral. Lineage: Eukaryota; Metazoa; Chordata; Mammalia; Primates; Hominidae.
GAGGCAACACACUUAAUAGGAAAGCAUGACUUUAUUUUGGCAUGAUUCAUCUUCAAAUCAGGUAUUCACCUGGUAUCUAAGCUAGUGUAAUAAGAAUAAAUACAAGCUUGAGGCAAUAAACGAACUCUGGGAAACUAUAAAUGCUGGCACGCCUUUACUUCUUAUGAAAGCCAACCACCUGAAUGAUUAACUAAACCACCUCAAAGCAAGAAGAGAAAUAUUUAUUGGAAUUUCAGAUGUAAAAUCUUAUCACAGAAACAGCAAAUGCAAUCCCCGUUUAGUUCAAUGUACCAUAUCUUAAUUCCAAAAGGUUUCCUUCAUGGAAAGAAAAAAAUAAGCACUUCAGAUAUGUUACAGAAAUUAAAUCUCCAGUAACCAGUGACUUCAUAAUGCCAAAGUUUGUGAAGAGUGAAAUUAUUUUCUUCUAUUAGUGUAUGUUUUAAUAAAUAAAUGAUUUUUCUUUUCAUUUGGCAAGGCAGGUGAAAGAAGCAUAGAAUGCAACUUAGGAAAAUAGAGCCAAAUCAAAUUUAUAUAAAUGAACAAAAAAGCCUCCACUGUUGACCAAUAUUUG